Molecule: long non-coding RNA, 593 nt
Filed under: Olea europaea (common olive)
Lineage: Eukaryota; Viridiplantae; Streptophyta; Magnoliopsida; Lamiales; Oleaceae
Description: long non-coding RNA (OEUR_LNC010861)
Source: RNAcentral
GUAUCUUUAAGCAUGGUCCCAUCACCAACCGGUUUGGAUGAAGUAGCCUCAGCAGAGGAUGAUGGAGCAGGAGUUGUCGAUGCCAAAGCCUUUGAAGGGGAGACUGAACUUUUCUGAAAAGUCCAAAAGAUCAUCAGUACACAGAACAGUAUCAAAUGUGGAAAAGCAUACUUGUAAAUAGACCGAUUUAAUUACCUUCCUCCUGACGAUAAGAGGGGCAUCAUCAUCAUCAUCAUCAUCAACAUCAUCCUCCAGAAUGGGAGAUGCUGAGGCUGACCGUUUGCGGCUUGAAGCACUCUUGGCCGUAGUAGACCUGGAGGGGAAAGAAGAAGAUGGACGAGCAGGUUGUUUGGUACGACGAGAAGGAGAGGGGCUUCGAAUAGACAAAGGAGUAACCAAAACAGGAGGAGGAGAAGAAAUAUUCGGUUGGUCUAAUGAAUGAAAGGCACGAUUGGCCUCAGUCGCAAAUAAUCUGCGCUUCACUGAUGGCCAAAGUUGUUCAAAAAGAGGGUGAGUAGCAUGACAAGAAUUAAAAGGGGCUAAUGAAAAAUGGCUUGAUAAAUGGAGGUUGCGAACGUUUAUAGCCUCUGCUU